UACGUAGGUGGCAAGCGUUGUCCGGAUUUACUGGGCGUAAAGGGCGCGUAGGCGGCCUUCUCAGUCGGGUGUGAAAGCCCGGGGCUCAACCCCGGAACGGCACCCGAGACGGGAAGGCUGGAGACCGGGAGAGGAGGGUGGAAUAGCCAGUGUAGAGGUGAAAUUCGUAGAUAUUGGCUGGAACACCGGUGGCGAAAGCGGCUCUCUGGCCCGGUUCUGACGCUGAGGCGCGAAAGCGUGGGGAGCAAACAGG
RNAcentral lists this ribosomal RNA (253 nucleotides) under uncultured bacterium. RNAcentral describes it as "partial 16S ribosomal RNA". It matches the Rfam family "Bacterial small subunit ribosomal RNA", at positions 524 to 776 of the family's 1533-position model. The record is from RNAcentral.